UUGAGAUAAGCUUAAAAAUACAAUGCACAAGCAUUGGAUGUUCUGAGUUGCUUAUAACAUUAACUAUCUAUUCCUUAAGUAUUUACUCUUCCUUUAUUUCAAGAAAUUUAUUAGCCAUCUUUUCUGACAAAAAUACACGGACCUGUGUGUACUCGUCAAAAUACCCAUAACAAGUACAUGCAAAAAUAGCUCAUGGGUGAGAACGAGUAUAUGAUACCCGCCCUAAAGGGUACAUUGGCGUGUUCUUCAGAAAUCGUUUUUGUAUACUUUGUCUGGUGGAUGUAGACCUAAUCCAUUGUUCGCUUUAAAUGAAGUCCAAGAAAGAACUUUAGUUCUACCAUCAUGCUCAUUUCGAAUUCCUUCUACUUAGCUUAGAAAAUUGUUGGCAUGGAGAUUCAUCAGUUGUACAAAAAAUAGUAUCAUCCAUAUAUAUUUGUACAACACCGAAAUCUUUAUUAUAUGAUUUUCUAAACAAGGUUGUAUCAAUCUUUCUUCU
Non-coding RNA from Lupinus albus (white lupine), 496 nucleotides. Lineage: Eukaryota; Viridiplantae; Streptophyta; Magnoliopsida; Fabales; Fabaceae. The record is from the annotation of a GenBank genome assembly.